GGUGCAUUAAAUGCUUAAUAGGGAAGUAGGUGUGAUUCCUACGCUGUCCCGCAGCUGUAAUGUGGAGCAAGCUUAUUCUAUGUCACUGGGAAACUGGGAAGACGAAGCGAGCGAUGAUACAGAGCCAGAAUACCUGCCUUAUUG
Molecule: non-coding RNA, 144 nt
Filed under: uncultured Phascolarctobacterium sp.
Lineage: Bacteria; Bacillati; Bacillota; Negativicutes; Acidaminococcales; Acidaminococcaceae
Source: RNAcentral